ACUGUAGCAGACAGUGUCUCCAGGCAGGGUACUGAGCAAAGAGGAUAGUGAAAAGGGCAGUGAAACAUCGGCCUUUUUCACUGGCAACUUCAAGACUCACUGCCUACAAUACCACUUGGGGAUUGAAUUCAUGGUUUGAUCCAUUUCCAUCCAUCUGCUCAUGAGAGAAGAAAUUCGGUUUGGUGAAGGAUGUCUGGAAAAUGCGAAGACCACCAACUUGGGAAACUUUUAUCA
This 234-nucleotide long non-coding RNA is filed under the name Homo sapiens (human). RNAcentral describes it as "HSALNT0165409". The record is from RNAcentral. Lineage: Eukaryota; Metazoa; Chordata; Mammalia; Primates; Hominidae.